Molecule: non-coding RNA, 502 nt
Organism: Sturnus vulgaris (Common starling)
Lineage: Eukaryota; Metazoa; Chordata; Aves; Passeriformes; Sturnidae
Source: RefSeq, a predicted model, not a curated record
GGUGAGCUGAAUCAGAGCAGGCUGUGAUGGGUAGCUCUGGGCUCUUCUGGGGCUCUCAAAUCUCCUUCUUUCUUUCUUUCUUUGGCUCUGCAGAUUCCUGCACCCAAGGAUGGCAGGUAUGUGCCCUGGUUUUCCUUCUCAGGCUUGAAGCUCUGUCUGUCUUUAGCCUUUCCUUUUUCCUCACUUCUAGACAUGCUGAAUACCCCUUUUUAACCCUUUCAGGUGGAGGAGAUCUACAAGAAUCAUGCUGAUAUUGGUCCUUACCACAAAGAGACAGUGAUCACUGCCUUCAGUGAAGGCAGUGUCAUUGCCUACUACUGGUCAGAAUUCCUUGUGCCCAAGUACCGGGAAGAGAGCCUGGACAGGGCGAUGGCUGACAAGCAGAGCCUGGUGCAGAGGUGGAACCCCCGCCUGAGAAACCCCAUGCUGAAGGUGGAGUCAGUCAUCGCUUUCCCUGUGGACCCCAGCAUAGCUCACUCUGCCCGGGACAGUAAGUACAGUU